AUGGGUUUAAUGGAGCAUUAGUAUAAUCCUACCAUUGGAUGGCUCGGUUCAAGUGCCGAUGAAGGGCGUGCCAAGCUGCGAUAAG
RNAcentral lists this ribosomal RNA (85 nucleotides) under uncultured archaeon. RNAcentral's name for it is "partial 23S ribosomal RNA". The record is from RNAcentral.